Molecule: long non-coding RNA, 363 nt
Filed under: Rosa chinensis
Lineage: Eukaryota; Viridiplantae; Streptophyta; Magnoliopsida; Rosales; Rosaceae
Description: sRNA RchiOBHm_Chr1g0378861
Source: RNAcentral
UUCAACAUUAUGAAGCUGGUUGAUGGAACAAAAGCUAUCUGGGGUUUUUGUUGUAGUUAGAUAUAUCGGCAUAGACCCUGUUGGUGUUGACUGUGCCUACUACUGCAGUAGAUGUCUUGAAGGCUGAAGAGGGAAAGGUUUCAUGCCGAUAGCCUCUUUUCAAGAUCCUGACUCGAUCCCUCAACCUCCCUGCACCAUUUCCAGUCAUUGUGUCCUUGAAAAAGCUAAGAAGAAAAGGAAGUUGAAGUUAUGAUGCGAGUAAACACACAAGUCAAGACCCACUCUGCUGGUGAAUGAGAAGGACAAGUCGCGCUGCACCACCAACUACAUGCUUUUGUAAGACGUAGCUGUUUUAUUUUGCUU